This 119-nucleotide ribosomal RNA is filed under the name uncultured eukaryote. Its description in RNAcentral is "partial small subunit ribosomal RNA". It matches the Rfam family "Bacterial small subunit ribosomal RNA", at positions 1384 to 1502 of the family's 1533-position model. The record is from RNAcentral.
UACACACCGCCCGUCGCACCAUGGAAGCUGGUUAUACCCGAAGUCAUUACUCUAACCGUUUGGAGGAGGGUGCUUAAGGUAGAAUUAGUGACUGGGGUGAAGUCGUAACAAGGUUUCCG